AGGGCUUUUAGGGUAUCCAUUACCCAAAUGAUGUACAUUGUACCCAUUAAGUAAUUUAUCAUCUUACUAGCUUGAGUAAAUUUUUAUACUCUCAAAAAAUCAUGUUUCUACCUGAGUAAAAUGGGGUUACUAACAGGAAUACUUAUCACAAAGAGUAAUAUGUGAUGUAAUGUCAUAAUACAUCUAAAAUAGCACAUUUUCUGGCACAUAAUUCAUGUUUCCUAAAUGUUAUUUAUUUUGCUGUGACUACAUUGAUUAAUGGAGAUACCAAAAAGUGAAAUAAUUUCCCUCCAGGUAUCUCUAGUUAACAGUGGAAUUGAGACUAAAAUCUAAUCUUUAUGCCUCACCAAGUCCUCUUUCUUUUCCUCCUGGGAGUUGUGUUUCAAGAAUAAAAAAUUUCCUUCCUACUGCAGUGGCAGCUCACCCUCCUGUUUCAACUCAGAAGUCCUUCUCCAUUACGACCCCUGUCAAGUGAGGAGUUGCUGUUUCUCCUACUAAUGAGCAGAGCAGGCUGAAGAGGAGGAGGAAGAGGACAAGUUGUUCUUGCUAUCUCAAGAGCGGCAUUGGCAGAAGAGGUGGAAAGGAGGUAGGAGAGACAGGAACACUUGGUAUAACUUUUCUUGAAAAAAAAAAUCUGCAUAUAUGUGGACCCGCGCAAUUGAAAUCCGUGUUGUUCAAGGGUCGACUCAAUUCAACUGGCUUCAGAUUUUUUAUCGGAAACACUGGAAGCCAGAAGAUGAUAGGAUAACCUUUUUUUUUUUUUUUUUUUUUUAAAUCUCAAGACCUUAUUAUCCAGGAAUAUAUGAUUCACUUUUCAGAAUGUAGAAAAUCUUUAUAAAUAUAUUUAAUUUGAGAAAACAUAUAAUUAAUUUGCCCUGUCAGUGGAAAAUAUUCAAAGAGAGCUUAAUUUUUAUAAAAAUGCACAAAUUUAAACAGCAACUUCAAGAAGGGGAAGAGGAAGUGUGCAGAAAGUAAGUGAUAAGCAAUGGUAUUUUCAAUAAACAUGCACACAUAUAUAAUAAUAUCUAGCUUGAUAAAGCUGUACAAUUUGUGAUAUAAAUGUUAAAUAAGAAUUCUUGACAUAGAAAAGACCCACUGCAAGGGUAAUUCCAGAAUAAUAUUGAAAGUACAAAUGACUUCAGAAAAAUCCAGGAGUUGAGCAAAAGGGGAAAUGAAGGAAGAAAAAGUGUUAAAAAUUCCUCAGGCACAGAUGGGAUAAGAGGUUCAGUGAUGGGGAGAAUGUAGGUAUUCUAAAAGUCUCAUCUUAAAGCGGUAGGUUAAGCUGAGAAAUCUAGAGCUUCUUGGUAGAGGACACGGUCAAUGUCCUGUUUUCAGAGAACGGUUAAGAAAAAAAGUAUAUGGUGCAUGGAGCAAGGUAAGAAACUAUAAAUAAGGUAACACUAUGCUAAAGCUACAACCUGACACAGAAAAAAGCUGGAGUGAAUAGCUCCUUGAAUGAGUAACACCCUGAUCAAAUGAAAAGCAAAAACGAAGGACAAAAAAGUAAAACAAUAUAUUAACAGAUGAUAAAAAUAAUCAAAUAUACUAGUAAUUAUACUAAAACUUAAUUUGCUAAAUGCUGAUAUUAAAAAGCAUUUUGGAAAGUUAAAAAACAAGAUAAAUGUGUAGCAACUGAAGCAAAAAAGUUGAUCAAAUCAAAAAUAAAAAGAUAAAACAAGUAAACAAGAUGUGGUUUUAAUGUAAAAAUGCAAAGAAUGGAAUCUACUACAUCUGCCAUUACACUAAAUGUGAAUGUUCUAAAUUAUUUUAUAAAAGAACAUUCUCUCAGAUUGGCUUGAAAGGUAAAACUGGAAUAGAAAUUAAUUGGAAUGAAUAACAACUUAAUUAAAUCAAACUAAAAAGAUAAAAAGAUUGAAUUAGAUAAGAAACAUAAAGAUAUAUAGAAAAGAGUCAAACAUGUCAUAAGUACGCUAAAUGAGAUGAACUGAAUUUUUUCAUUAAAAGAUAUACUCUACCUUUUAAGAAAAACACAGUUAUAUGCUAUUUACAAAAAGUUAAAGAAAAAUUAUAAAAAAUGUAAAAGUAAAGAAUAAACAAAGAUAAAGAUAAAUGGUUGGAGAAAAUGUGGUGUAUAUAUACACAAUGGAAUACUAUUAGCUAUAAAAAAGAAGGACAUUCUGUCAUUUGAGACAACAUGGAUGAACCUGUAGGACAUUAUCUUAAAUGAAAUAAUCCAGGCACAGAAAGAAAACCAUUGCAUGAUCUUAUUUAUUUGUGGAUUCUAAAAGAGUUGAGCUAAUAGAAGCAGAAAAGUAAAAGGAAGGUCACCAGGGGCUAUAGAUAAAAAGUGGAGUUGAAGAGAUCUUAUUUAACAGAUACAAAGUUUUGUUAGAUAGAAGAAAUAAGUUCAAAAGAUCUAUUGUGCAACAUGGUGGCUAUAGGUGAUAACAAUGUAUUGUGUUCUGGGAAAUUGUAAUGAGAGUAGAUUUUAAGUGUUUUCAUCACAAAAAGUGUUAAGUAUGUGAGUUAAUACCUGUAUUGAUUAUCUUAAUUUAGCUAUUGUACAAUGUGUAUAUAUUUCAAAGCAUUAUGUUGUAUAUGAUAAAUAUAUACAAUUUUUGUCAAAUAAAAAAUUAAUUUUAAGAAGAAAAAAGAAUAGACAAAGAGAUAAAAGACUGCAAAGAAGGGGCAACAUAACUAUAACAUAAGGCUGAAACUUCAAAACAUGUUAAAGAGAGACACUUUAUCAUGAUAAAAGGUGCAAGUUAUGAAAAAGGUAGACUCAUGGUAAAUCUGCAUGCAUUAAGCAACAUAAAAGCUAAAUCCAAAAAAAAAAAAAAUUAAAGAUACAAGGAGAGCUUGUUAAAAAUAUCGCUAUAGUAAAACACUUCAGUAUAUCACUUUCAGAAUUGGGAAGAUUCUUUAGAAAUAGAAAUGUAAAGCCAAUGGGAUGUGAAAACCUCAGUCAAUAAACUAACUUUAAUAGGUAUAUGUGUAGAAUCAUAUUGCCUCUUAAAAGGAAAAGAAUUCAACAAAUUUUAAAAAGUAGGAAUUUUAUAGACCAUAUUCUCUGUUCAUAAUCCAAUAAAAUUGAAAAUAAGUAAUGUAAAGGUGAACAUAAAAACCAUAACUAUUGAAAAUUAAGGAGAACAUUUCAAUAUGACCUUCAGUUCAAGGAGAAAGUUAAAACUUAACUUACAAACUACUUAGAAAGUAAUAAGUCAAAUACUUCAUGGUAAAACCUAUAAGCACCAAAACAACUAUUCUCUGAUGAAUACUUGUCAUCUUAAGUGUCUCAUUUUUAAAGAAGAAAGAAAUAACAAAGGACAUUAGUUCUAAUGAAAUUAUAUAAAAUGGUUAACAAAAGGAAACAAGAUACUAAAAGAGAAAGACAUUUUUAAAGACAAAAUCUCAAGGUAAAAAAUGUGAAAUAAUCUUUUCGAAUAGUUGAAAGGAUGAAUUCUACUGCUUUCUUAAUUUGUAUUUUUUGGAAAAGCAAUAAAAAACAAAACCUUUUGGAGCUUGGCUAAGAAAAAGAGAAGGGAGUAAAAAUAUACAUACAAAGAUAGAAAUAAUAAAUGAGAUAUAAUCAUUGCUAUUGAGAAAGAUUAAAAGAAUAGAAAGAAAAUGUUAUUACAACUCUGAAAACAAAUUAAAAAGUCUAAAGGAAAUGUUUCUAGAAAAAUUGGUUAUCAGAUCUAGGGAAAAAUAGGCUCUUAACAUAUACUAUAUGCAAAAUCAAUUAGCCUUGUGCACACAUCUCAAAUUUAAAAUAUUUAGAAAAAGCAUGACAAUAUUUUUUAUCACUUAAGGAGUAGGAGAAGUUAUCUUAAACAAUGAAAAAGAGCAAACUUUAAAGGAAAAGAUUAUGGAAAAAAUUGACCUAUUAAAAAAUUUAAAAUUUUGCUUAAAGACAUUG
Long non-coding RNA from Papio anubis (olive baboon), 3880 nucleotides. The record is from Ensembl. NCBI's taxonomy places the organism in Eukaryota, Metazoa, Chordata, Mammalia, Primates, Cercopithecidae.